CGGAAGUGCGUGGCCGCCCGGGGCCAUGGCGACACUCAGCUUCGUCUUCCUGCUGCUGGGGGCAGUGUCCUGGCCUCCGGCUUCUGCCUCCGGCCAGGAGUUCUGGCCCGGACAGUCGGCGGCCGAUAUUCUGUCGGGGGCGGCUUCCCGCAGACGGUAUCUUCUGUAUGACGUCAACCCCCCGGAAGGCUUCAACCUGCGCAGGGAUGUCUAUAUCCGAAUCGCCUCUCUCCUGAAGACUCUGCUGAAGACGGAGGAGUGGGUGCUUGUCCUGCCUCCAUGGGGCCGCCUCUAUCACUGGCAGAGUCCUGACAUCCACCAGGUCCGGAUUCCCUGGUCUGAGUUUUUUGAUCUUCCAAGUCUCAAUAAAAACAUCCCCGUCAUCGAGUAUGAGCAGUUCAUCGCAGAGGAUGGUUUUGGGGUUAUGAGGAGACCAGGGGUCUAAACGUCUCCUGUCUGUCCGUCCAGGGCUCAGCCUCCAUCGUGGCGCCCCUGCUGCUGAGGAACACAUCAGCCCGGUCCGUGAUGUUAGACAGAGCCGAGAACCUACUUCACGACCACUAUGGAGGGAAAGAAUACUGGGAUACCCGUCGCAGCAUGGUGUUUGCCAGGCACCUGCGGGAGGUGGGAGACGAGUUCAGGAGCAGACACCUCAACUCCACGGACGACGCAGACGGGAUCCCCUUCCAGGAGGACUGGACGAAGAUGAAGGUCAAGCUGGGCUCCGCGCUAGGGGGCCCCUACCUGGGAGUCCACCUGAGAAGAAAAGAUUUCAUCUGGGGUCACAGACAGGAUGUACCCAGUCUGGAAGGGGCCGUGAGGAAGAUCCGCAGCCUCAUGAAGACCCACCGGCUGGACAAGGUGUUUGUGGCCACAGAUGCCGUCAGAAA
Molecule: small RNA, 890 nt
Filed under: Pan troglodytes (chimpanzee)
Lineage: Eukaryota; Metazoa; Chordata; Mammalia; Primates; Hominidae
Description: processed transcript
Source: RNAcentral